Non-coding RNA from Carassius gibelio (silver crucian carp), 1465 nucleotides. Lineage: Eukaryota; Metazoa; Chordata; Actinopteri; Cypriniformes; Cyprinidae. The record is from the annotation of a RefSeq genome assembly.
UUUAUUCAGAAGUGAUACAUUUAUAACAGCUUGGCUAUUAGAUUAUAUAAUAUUAUGAAACAUUAAUAGUAAUUGUAUUUUGUGUCUGUUAAUGAGCGACUGUCUCCAGGUAAAUGAUGUGAGUGUGUUUGCAUAUUGAUCAGAUGCUUCAGUGCUCUGAGAGUGUUUAUAGUGCUGUGAGUUUAACACUUCAUCACUGACACACACAACAAUCUUCAUCAACAUGACCUUCAUCAUCAUCUUCAUCUGGACCCUUUCAUACUGCUUUAUACUACAAGGGUGUAAAGCUCAGAUCACAGUCACUCAGACUCCUUCAGUGAAACCUGUCACACCAGGAGAAAAUGUAGAGAUGAGCUGUAGAUUUAGUUCUGCUCCAUCCUGCAGCCCACCCUGUGUGUCCUGGUACUUACAGAAACCUGGAGAAGCUCCUAAACUCCUGAUUUAUUUGACCAAAAGUCUCAAGUCAGGAACUCCAUCUAGAUUCAGUGGCAGUGGAUCUAACAGUGAUUUCACUCUGACCAUCAGUGGAGUCCAGACUGAAGAUGCUGGACAUUAUUACUGUCUGAGUUUAUACUGGCCUGAGAGCAUUCGGUGGUUCACACAGUGAUUGUGAGUCGUACAAAAACCUGUGUCAGUCAGAGUCACAGUGACUGAACUGAUGCUGCAGCUGAUCAAACACUAUCACUCACUACUGACACACAGAGACCAAACACAGAACUACACAUGAGCUCACAACUGAGUUAGGACUCACAUCAGCUCUAUUAGACUCAGAUCUGUCCUGGGACAGACGGGUUUGAAUUAAUUAUGCUCUGGUUUUGUGAUGAAUUGAUAUCAAAUCAAUCCAAAAACACACAAAUAUUAUCUCUGUUACAGUUUAAUAGUUUUAUGUUUUUAUGUGUACUUACAAUCAUACUGAUAAACUGCCUUACGAAACUAUCACUCAAUCUUCAUAACUGUCUCAUCAGUGCAUGAGCAGAAGUGAAAGUGUUUCAGUUCAGAGCGUUGAACCGAUCAAACAGUGAAACUGUGAGUUUGAGCUGAAAUCAGAUUUGCAUUGACAGCUUUAGUGAUUCUGAUGGUCUCAGAAUAGAGCAGCUCCGUCUCCAGAGACCAUGUUCAAACCCCAAGAGCUUCAGUUCACAUUUACUGCUAAACACAGCUGUUCUCAACUAUUACAAUCCAUCAACAGCAGCUGAAACUUUAGUGAAGGAAGGACACACUGAUCAAUGAUGCAGUCGAACACAAAUGGAAGGCGUUCAGAAGCUUUAUUGAAUGAACAGCAAUGGCAGCACAUUGAAAGACUGCUUGAGUAUUGAGCUGUAAAUCAGGAGACUGCUGUGAAUCCUGCUGCUCUUCACUGGAGAAACAUCAGCACUCGGAGCUCUUGAGGAACGAGGUCUCGUGAUCAGCUCCGUCAUGUGUUACUCUGCAGACGAAGCGCUCGCCGGCUUCCCAGCGUGCUUUG